This 494-nucleotide ribosomal RNA is filed under the name uncultured bacterium. RNAcentral's name for it is "partial 16S ribosomal RNA". It matches the Rfam family "Bacterial small subunit ribosomal RNA", at positions 28 to 507 of the family's 1533-position model. The record is from RNAcentral.
GACGAACGCUGGCGGCGUGCUUAACACAUGCAAGUCGAACGGUGUAGCGCCUUCCUUUUUGGUGGGUGUGGAUGAGUGGCGAACGGGUGAGUAACACGUGAGUAACCUGCCCCCUUCUUCUGGAUAACCGCAUGAAAGUGUGGCUAAUACGGGAUAUUCUGGGUCUGUCGCAUGAUGGGUCUGGGAAAGAUAUUGUUUCGGUGGGGGAUGGGCUCGCGGCCUAUCAGCUUGUUGGUGGGGUGAUGGCCUACCAAGGCGGUGACGGGUAGCCGGCCUGAGAGGGUGGACGGUCACAGAGGGACUGAGACACGGCCCAGACUCCUACGGGAGGCAGCAGUGGGGAAGAUUGCACAAUGGGCGCAAGCCUGAUGCAGCGACGCCGCGUGAGGGAUGGAGGCCUUCGGGUUGUGAACCUCUUUCGCCAGUGAAGCAGGCCUGCCUCGUUUGUGGGUGGGUUGACGGUAGCUGGAUAAGAAGCGCCGGCUAACUACGUG